GUGAACGCUGGCGGUAGGCCUAACCCAUGCAAGUCGCACGGCAGCACAGUAAGAGCUUGCUCUUACGGGUGGCGAGUGGCGGACGGGUGAGGAAUACAUCGGAAUCUACUUUUUCGUGGGGGAUAACGUAGGGAAACUUACGCUAAUACCGCAUACGACCUACGGGUGAAAGCAGGGGAUCUUCGGACCUUGCGCGAUUGAAUGAGCCGAUGUCGGAUUAGCUAGUUGGCGGGGUAAAGGCCCACCAAGGCGACGAUCCGUAGCUGGUCUGAGAGGAUGAUCAGCCACACUGGAACUGGGACACGGUCCAGACUCCUACGGGAGGCAGCAGUGGGGAAUAUUGGACAAUGGGCGCAAGCCUGAUCCAGCCAUACCGCGUGGGUGAAGAAGGCCUUCGGGUUGUAAAGCCCUUUUGUUGGGAAAGAAAAGCAGCAGGUUAAUACCCCGCUGUUCUGACGGUACCCAAAGAAUAAGCACCGGCUAGCUUCGUG
Molecule: ribosomal RNA, 491 nt
Filed under: uncultured bacterium
Lineage: Bacteria
Description: partial 16S ribosomal RNA
Rfam family: Bacterial small subunit ribosomal RNA
Source: RNAcentral